Molecule: ribosomal RNA, 109 nt
Filed under: Pteropus alecto (black flying fox)
Lineage: Eukaryota; Metazoa; Chordata; Mammalia; Chiroptera; Pteropodidae
Source: RNAcentral
GAUCAUGGUUCACUAAAAAAAAGUGGAAUGAAUCUCGGAAGCUAAGCAGAGUCGAGCCUGGUUAGUACUUGGAUGGGAGACCACCUAGGAAGACCAGGUGCUGUAGGCA